UACGUAGGAGGCGAGCGUUGUCCGGAGUUACUGGGCGUAAAGGGUGCGCAGGCGGUGGCCUAAGUUUGCGGUGAAAGCUCCUGGCUUAACUGGGAGAGUGCCGUGAAGACUGGGACACUUGAGGCUCGGAGAGGGACGUGGAAUUCCGGGUGGAGCGGUGAAAUGCGUAGAGAUCCGGAAGAACACCAACGGCGAAGGCAGCGUCCUGGCCGAGUCCUGACGCUCAGGCACGAAAGCGCGGGGAGCAAACAGG
RNAcentral lists this ribosomal RNA (253 nucleotides) under uncultured bacterium. Its description in RNAcentral is "partial 16S ribosomal RNA". It matches the Rfam family "Bacterial small subunit ribosomal RNA", at positions 524 to 776 of the family's 1533-position model. The record is from RNAcentral.